This 473-nucleotide ribosomal RNA is filed under the name uncultured bacterium. Its description in RNAcentral is "bacterial SSU rRNA". It matches the Rfam family "Bacterial small subunit ribosomal RNA", at positions 328 to 794 of the family's 1533-position model. The record is from RNAcentral.
GGUCCAGACUCCUACGGGAGGCAGCAGUGGGGAAUAUUGCACAAUGGGCGCAAGCCUGAUGCAGCCAUGCCGCGUGUAUGAAGAAGGCCUUCGGGUUGUAAAGUACUUUCAGCGGGGAGGAAGGGAGUAAAGUUAAUACCUUUGCUCAUUGACGUUACCCGCAGAAGAAGCACCGGCUAACUCCGUGCCAGCAGCCGCGGUAAUACGGAGGGUGCAAGCGUUAUCCGGAUUUAUUGGGUUUAAAGGGUGCGCGGGCGGAGGCACAGGUCAGGGGUAAAAUCGCGGGGCUCAACCCCGCUCCGCCGUUGAAACUGUGUCCCUUGAGUGCGCGAAGGGUAGGCGGAAUGCGUGGUGUAGCGGUGAAAUGCAUAGAUAUCACGCAGAACUCCGAUCGCGAAGGCAGCCUACCGGCGCGCAACUGACGCUCAUGCACGAAAGCGUGGGUAUCGAACAGGAUUAGAUACCCGAGUAGU